AUUAAUUCAUUUCUUCACGUAGACUUCUCAUGUUAAGCAAACAAAUCACCAAUUUUCUCUCUAUCUCUUAGUUUUAGAUGCGUAUUUUAGGAUGUAUUGGCCAAAGUUUUCCAUGCAUUUUUGUUUUACUAUUAAUUUAUUUAUUUGUCUUUUUUGUUUAGUGUUUCAUUUAUGGUUUUGACAAUUCCUCCUACAGCCAUAAUUAAAAAAAAUUUAGUAUGAUGUAGGGUUUUUUUUUUUUUUUCUGGUGUAACAUGAGCUGCACAAACUUUUUUUGACAAUUAAAUAUUAUAUAUAUGGUAUUUUAUUUUGGAAUUAUUAUGGAAUAAAUAAGAGAAAAGAAAGGGAAAAAAAAGUUACAAAGGCCAUCAACAUUUUCAAUAAAUUUAAAACAUGGUACACCAUUAAAAAACAUUACAAUUACUAAAGCAAAUGUGCUGUUAAUUAUUUGGAGUUCGCAACUAUGAAAUUAUCUACAUAUUUUUAAUUAGAGAUUAUUAUAUUUAAUAAAAUUUUUUGAAAUGCCAAACUUGCUUUUCAUUAAUUUUGGAUAAUGAAAUCAUAUUAGUAGGCUGCACGUUUCUGAAAGCAUAUAUUUUCAUUAAUUUCUCUCUCAAAAACAACAUCACUGAUCAUCAUCAUGAUUGUGUAGGUUUUGAUCAAACGGCUGAGAGGAAAGCAAUAGUAGGGGAGCUGAAAAGUACAUGACCGUGCAAAAAUCACAAUCGUUCACGUAACAAUUAACUUAUAUCAUCACAGCCGGCAUGACAUGUUAUGGAUAAUCUUAAUGGGAUUUUUUUCCUCUUCCUUGUUAUGUAUAGGUCUGAGAGCUUCUCUCGGAAGCCACGCAACAACGUGAUCAAAACUUCUUCGUUAAGCUUUCAACUUUAACGUAUGGCUAGGGUUUUUCUUUUUCUUUUUUUUUUUUGGACUUUGUCAAUAUGUGUGUCUUUUUGUUUCCCAGAUACUGCCGCCAUACAAAUAAUUGUCCCCUUGCUCAUUUGGCAUCGUCUGUCUGUUCAUACAAUUUCUGGCCAAAAAACGCCCCUAAUUUUCUUUUGGCUGAUGAGAAAUUAAAUAUCCAAGAAACUAAAAGAUCUGAUGGGAAAGUACUUGAAAUCAAACAAGAGAAUGAAUGUUUUUGUUUACCAAAGCUUAAUUAGCAACCCAAGUUUGGGGUUAGGGGAGACAUGGAAAAUAUAAUUAAGAUCAUUUUCAAGCAUUUGAUCCCCACCCCGGAGUCAGGAUUCACACUUUUAUUUCCUGAAAGUGACAGGCCAUUUCAAAGUCGUAUUUUUAUUGAGUCUCCAAUGUCUUCUAUUUUAAAUGGGAAUCAACGACUUCUUUGCAGCUUCUAACUUUUUCACAAAUUGCAUAACACUUACCAUUAACACAGUUGGUAAAGGAGAGAAAUUUUUUCUUCUCAAUCAAAUCAUUGUAUAAUUAUUUCAAAAAUAAAAUUUUCAACAUUUCACCAAUUAGAUGCAAAGGAGUAUAUCUUUAAAAUCAUUUCAAAAAGAUAUUAUGUCAAACAAAAUUUAAAUAUUUACAUGAUCCUUAAAAAUAUAUUUGAUAAUUUGUAUUAUUAUAUUAUAUAAAAUAUUAUAUUCGUAUUGUAUUUUACAUGCAAAGACGGAUCUAAGAAUUCUAAUCAAUGAGAGCAAAUAUUUUAACUUAAUUUAUUAAAUUUUUCAUUGAAAUAUAAAUUAAUAUAAAAACUUUCAAACAAAAUUAACAUGUAUAACAAAUUUUUAUAUCAAAUAUAACUAAAAUAUUUGCAUAACUAAAAUUAACUAUUUGAUUAUUGACAAAUAUAGCUUAAACACCUAAACAUAUACAAACACAUAUAAAUAUGUAUAUAUUAAUUUAAUAAAAUUUUAUGUGCUUAUAAAAUUUUUAAAGAUAGAUGUAAUAUGUGAAGAAAUAAAAAU
RNAcentral lists this long non-coding RNA (1931 nucleotides) under Durio zibethinus. RNAcentral's name for it is "long non-coding RNA (DZIB_LNC001257)". Lineage: Eukaryota; Viridiplantae; Streptophyta; Magnoliopsida; Malvales; Malvaceae. The record is from RNAcentral.